GAGUUUGAUCAUGGCUCAGAACGAACUCUGGCGGCGUGGCUAAGGCAUGCAAGUCGAACGAACCCUUCGGGGUUAGUGGCGAACGGGUGAGGAAUAGAUGGAUAACGUACCCUGGACACGAGGAUAGCGGCGGGACUUCGGUUCCUUUGCGAAAGUGCCGGUAAUACUCGAUGACCCCGCGGAACCGCAUGGUUUUGCGGGCAAAUGCUCCGGUGGUCUGGGAGCGGUCCAUCUCCUAUCAGCUUGUUGGUGAGGUAACGGCUCACCAAGGCAUCGACGGGUAGCGGGCGUGAGAGCGUGGCCCGCCACAUCGGGACUGAGACACGGCCCGGACACCUACGGGUGGCUGCAGCAACGAAUAUUCCGCAAUGGACGAAAGUCUGACGGAGCGACGCCGCGUGUAGGAAGAAGUCCUUCGGGAUGUAAACUACUGUCAGGGGUUAGGAACACCGACCAGCCCCACAGGAAGCACCGGCUAACUCCGUGCCAGCAGCCGCGGUAAUACGGAGGGUGCAAGCGUUGUUCGGAAUCACUGGGCUUAAAGGGCGUGCAGGCGGAACGGAUAGUGUCGGGUGAAAGCCCACGGCUCAACCGUGGAAUGGCCCGGCAAACUUCCGUUCUUGAGGCAGGUAGAGGUGACUGGAACGACUGGUGGAGCGGUGAAAUGCGUAGAUAUCAGUUGGAACGCCGGAGGCGAAAGCGGGUCACUGGGCCUGUCCUGACGCUGAGACGCGAAAGCGUGGGGAGCAAACAGGAUUAGAUACCCUGGUAGUCCACGCCGUAAACGAUGCGCACUAGGUAUGAGAGGCUCUGACGCCGAUCGUGCCGCAGGAAAACUGAUAAGUGCGCCGCCUGGGGAGUACGGCCGCAAGGCUAAAACUCAAAGGAAUUGACGGGGGCUCACACAAGCGGUGGAGCAUGUGGAUUAAUUCGAAGCAACGCGAAGAACCUUACCUGGGUUUGACAUGCACGGAUGCUCUUCUUGAAAGAGAAGUAGGCUGCCUUCGGGUGAAACGUGCACAGGUGCUGCAUGGCUGUCGUCAGCUCGUGCUGUGAAGUGUCGGGUUAAGUCCCUUAACGAGCGAAACCCCUAUCAUUAGUUGCCAGCGGGUUAUGCCGGGGACUCUAAUGAGACCGCCGGCGUCAAGCCGGAGGAAGGUGGGGACGACGUCAAGUCAUCAUGGCCUUUAUGUCCAGGGUGUCGCACGUGCUACAAUGGCUGCUACAGAGCGACGCGAUACCGCGAGGUGGAGCAAAUCGCAGAAAAGCAGCCCCAGUUCGGAUUGGAGUCUGCAACUCGACUCCAUGAAGUUGGAAUCGCUAGUAAUCGCGCAUCAGCCACGGCGCGGUGAAUGUGUUCCUGAGCCUUGCACACAC
RNAcentral lists this ribosomal RNA (1377 nucleotides) under uncultured bacterium. RNAcentral's name for it is "bacterial SSU rRNA". It matches the Rfam family "Bacterial small subunit ribosomal RNA". The record is from RNAcentral.